GCGGUGUCCAGCCUGCGGGCCCAGACCAACCCUUCGGGCGCAGGGGGCAGGGUCAGGUCCACGGCCUCGCCGGCGUUCAGAACCGCCAGCACCGCGCC
RNAcentral lists this transfer RNA (98 nucleotides) under Tropicibacter alexandrii. RNAcentral's name for it is "tRNA-Ala(ggc)". Lineage: Bacteria; Pseudomonadati; Pseudomonadota; Alphaproteobacteria; Rhodobacterales; Roseobacteraceae. The record is from RNAcentral.